This is a long non-coding RNA of Helianthus annuus (common sunflower), 1068 nucleotides long. RefSeq lists it as uncharacterized. The record is from RefSeq and is a predicted model, not a curated record. The transcript is spliced from 3 exons. Lineage: Eukaryota; Viridiplantae; Streptophyta; Magnoliopsida; Asterales; Asteraceae.
AUGACUAUUCAGGUAUGGGAGAUUGCUAACCGGUUGCAGAUUGAACAUAAAAAUUUAUGGGUAUGGAAUAUCGGGGCAUAGUCAAUGGCUAUUCAGGUCUGCAUAAUUACUAUAUGUUAGUAAGACAAUUGGAAAUGAAUAGUGUAUUCAACGGCAGGUUAGGGCCUCAGGAUUUCAAAACAAAUCUGCUCCAGCAAUUAAAAAACUAAGUGAAGCUGCCUUCCGGCGACCACGAUUGGCAAGCCGAGAUCUGUGUAGUCUAUUUCCUGAUCUGGUCUUUUAGUGUCACUGGUUGACUGGUUGCUGAUCACGGUGAACUCUAAAACUCACAAAUUACCAUUCGAUUAUUACAUUUUCUACCACAGUUUUUUGUUAUACAGUGCACAUUAAUGCUCUGCUAGGAUUGUCUUGAUAAAUAGUAAAGGCAUUUGGAAAUUAAAUGGGUCAAAUGAGUCGAAUGAUUUGAAAGUUACCUUUUACCUGGCCUAUUUUUCUCAUAAUAUAUGUGCUUUUGUCUAAAAUGAAACGUGUCAGGUGACUUAACUGAAUCAAAAGUGGUUAAACUGUUUACAUUUACGGUGAACCAAAGGCGAACUGAAAAGAAUGCAGCCAUGUCUUCUUUGAUUGGAUGGUUAAACGUAACGGGUCAAAAUGAACUUUAAUUUUUAUAAUUUGUUUCAUUUGUUGAUGAGAGUUUGUGAAAAAGGCAUUAACAUGCUUAUUCCACUCAGGAUCAGCAAUAAGUGACACUAAAAGAAAGCACAUACUCAUAUCCAAAGGAAUGCAGUUAAAGUCGUCGACAACAACGGCACCGUCGGCGGCAUCAAAUGCAAAAAUGUCAUUGGAGUAGAGAAGCUGAUGGCGUCAAAGCUGAUGUCUCGACUAAUCAUAGAAUUCAUUUGCAUAGUUAGGAGGAUACUUUCUCAGAUUUUGUUCUACACAAAAGAAUUUUCUUGAUUUUGAUGGUCAGAUUUUUAAAUUUCAGUGUUUAUAGUGGACGAGCCGAUGGCAUGCUGCUGCUGCUUUUGGUGAUUAUAUAUUUGUGGCGGUCUACGUGGAGGUAACACU